This 272-nucleotide long non-coding RNA is filed under the name Homo sapiens (human). RNAcentral's name for it is "HSALNT0088924". The record is from RNAcentral. Lineage: Eukaryota; Metazoa; Chordata; Mammalia; Primates; Hominidae.
UCUUCUGGACCAGAGGCUAUGGUGGUGCACUCGUGAUAGCCGAUUGUUAAAUCUUCAGGAAUUGUGUGAUCCAGUUGAUCAGUUUGAUAUUGGCUGUGGUGGAAGCAUUCACAUCACAGAAAUCAGCAAACACGGCAGAAAGAAGCACCAGGAGAUCCGAAAGUGAAUCAUAAAUGUGCUGGGAUUUCAGAAGAUGUUACUGGAUGCAGGAAUGGAGAGGACCUGGCUUGGAAAUUUCAAGUAAAGGGGUACCAGAGUUGAAUAGGGGAUCC